This 1324-nucleotide ribosomal RNA is filed under the name human gut metagenome. Its description in RNAcentral is "bacterial LSU rRNA". It matches the Rfam family "Bacterial large subunit ribosomal RNA", at positions 929 to 2284 of the family's 2925-position model. The record is from RNAcentral.
UCAAAGCUUACCGAAGAUUAUCAAACUCCGAAUGCCGUAAAGAUGAUGUAUGGGAGUCAGACUGCACGAGAUAAGUUGGGUAGUCAAAAGGGAAAGAGCCCAGACCUACAGCUAAGGUCCCAAAGUACGUGUUAAGUGGAAAAGGAUGUGGGAUUUCGAAGACAACUAGGAUGUUGGCUCAGAAGCAGCCAUACAUUCAAAGAGUGCGUAAUAGCUCACUAGUCGAGAGGUCCUGCGCCGAAAAUGUCCGGGGCUGAAACACGACACCGAAGCUUAGGAAUCGAAAGAUUGGUAGAGGAGCAUUGAAUACGGAACGAAGCAGUACCGGAAGGAGCUGUGGACUGUAUUGAAGAGAGAAUGCCGGAAUGAGUAGCGAGAUUUAAGUGAGAAUCUUAAAGGCCGAAUAUCUAAGGUUUCCAGGGUAAAGCUGAUCUUCCCUGGGUAAGUCGGGGCCUAAGGCGAGGACGAAAGUCGUAGUCGAUGGAUAACAGGUUGAAAUUCCUGUACCGCAUAUAUUCAGAAAUGUGGGGACACAGAUGGAGAGUACAACCCGGGAAUGGAUAGACCGGGGCAAGCGAGGUAGGAGAAUGGCAGGCAAAUCCACCAUUCAAUCUGAAGACGUGACGCGUACCGAACAAGAGUAGGGAAGUGUAUGAGCCAGCUGUCGAGAAAAGCCGCUAUUGUGAUAUAUGCGCCCGUACCGUAAACCGACACAGGUGGAUGAGGAGAGAAUCCUAAGGCCGGCGGGAGAAGUGUUGUUAAGGAACUCGGCAAAAUGACCCCGUAACUUCGGGAGAAGGGGUGCCUCGGAAGAGGCCGCAGAGAAAUGGCCCAAGCAACUGUUUAGCAAAAACAUAGGUCUAUGCAAAACCGAAAGGUGAGGUAUAUGGGCUGACGCCUGCCCGGUGCUGGAAGGUUAAGAGGAGAGCUUAGCGCAAGCGAAGGUUUGAAUUUAAGCCCCAGUAAACGGCGGCCGUAACUAUAACGGUCCUAAGGUAGCGAAAUUCCUUGUCGGGUAAGUUCCGACCCGCACGAAAGGCGUAAUGAUUUGGGCACUGUCUCAACAACACACCCGGUGAAAUUGAAAUACCAGUGAAGAUGCUGGUUACCUGCGCCAGGACGGAAAGACCCCAUGGAGCUUUACUCCAGCUUGAUACUGGGAUUCGGUACUACCUGUACAGGAUAGGUGGGAGGCUUCGAUCACGGGACGCCAGUUUCGUGUGAGCCGCUGUUGGGAUACCACCCUUGUAGUACUGGAUUCCUAACCUACAGCCGUGAACCGGCUGGGGGACAAUGUCUGGCGGGGAGUUUGACUGGGGCGGUC